Molecule: non-coding RNA, 148 nt
Filed under: Homo sapiens (human)
Lineage: Eukaryota; Metazoa; Chordata; Mammalia; Primates; Hominidae
Source: Rfam by way of RNAcentral
GCUGGGCGUGGUGGCGCAUGCCUGUAAUCCCAGCUACUUGGUAGGCUGAGGCAGGAGAAUUGCUUGAACCCAGGAGGCGGAGGUUGCAGUGAGGUGAGAUCGUGCCACUGCACUCCAGCCUGGGUAACAGAGUGAGACUCUGUCUCAA